GAUGAACGCUGGCGGCGUGCUUAACACAUGCAAGUCGAACGGAAAGGCCAGUGCUUGCACUGGUACUCGAGUGGCGAACGGGUGAGUAACACGUGGGUGAUCUGCCCUGCACUUCGGGAUAAGCUUGGGAAACUGGGUCUAAUACCGGAUAGGACCACUUCGUUGUUGUUGUGGUGGAAAGUUUUUUCGGUGUGGGAUGAGCUCGCGGCCUAUCAGCUUGUUGGUGGGGUAAUGGCCUACCAAGGCGUCGACGGGUAGCCGGCCUGAGAGGGUGUACGGCCACAUUGGGACUGAGAUACGGCCCAGACUCCUACGGGAGACAGCAGUGGGGAAUAUUGCACAAUGGGCGGAAGCCUGAUGCAGCGACGCCGCGUGGGGGAUGACGGCCUUCGGGUUGUAAACUCCUUUGGCCAAAGACGAAUUUUGACGGUAUUUGGAGAAGAAGCACCGGCUAACUACGUG
This 462-nucleotide ribosomal RNA is filed under the name uncultured bacterium. Its description in RNAcentral is "partial 16S ribosomal RNA". It matches the Rfam family "Bacterial small subunit ribosomal RNA", at positions 28 to 507 of the family's 1533-position model. The record is from RNAcentral.